UUUAAUGAGUAUAUAGAGUGAAACCGCGAAACUAGUUAGGCUGCAGUAGUACUGAAAUGUAAAUAUGGUAUCACUGUCAGGUUAUAUCAUUUGCAGCUUUUAUUUCUGAGCAAAAUAACGUUUUCUAGCUAAGCUGGAUAGCGAAAAAAGUUGUUGAUGGAUAUCGUAACUUUUAAAUUUCAAAUAUUGCUAUAGUGAAUGGCAAACAUAAACGAUACUAACGCAUAUCACAUAAUCACACACCCAAAUGCAAAUGCAUGAAAAGCCUAAAUACACCAUUUUUCUUUCUUACCACGAACUACAAAUGCCGCCAUUUAUCUUAAUGUGACGUAACCAAUCCGGAAGUCGGAAAAGUCGGAGCUCAGAAAUUAUGCUCGAAUUUCCGACCUAAUUCCGAGUUCUACGACCGUUCAAUUGCUUUUUUCACAAGUCGGACCUCGUUUUUUGCUAGUUCCAAGUUGUCUUGAACGUAGCAUAAGGGUCGGGAAAACGUUCAGCAUAACAGAACGCGCGUUAAAAAAAUUAGUGGCGUUAAAACGAAUGUGCGUUAACGCGUUAUUAUCGCGUUAAGUUUUACAGCCCUAAUAUAUAUAUAUAUAUAUAUAUAUAUAUAUAUAUAUAUAUAUAUAUAUAUAUAUAUAUAUGCAUUACACUACCUUGCUUCUAGUCCUCUGGUAUUUCUGCAUUUUCUAAAGUCUGUCCAAAACUUUCUGCCAGUGGUUUAAAGAUGAUCUCAGCUAAAUCUUUGAGUACUCUUAGGUAUAUGCCAUCAGGGCCAGGGACUUGUCUUUAGUUCAUGUAAUCUAUCCAGUAGGCGGAAGUGUAGUAUAAUGGCUAAGGAGUUGGUCUUGUAACCUAAAGGUCGCAGACUCGAUUCACCGGUAGGACACUGCUGUUGUACCCUUGAGCAAGGAGUACUGAUGGCCAUCUACUUAUCAGGCGCGGCUGCUUCUGCCUUUGUGCUCAUAUUGGUUAUUUUAUUGCUGUGGAAAUGUUCAAGACGAAAAAAACGGUAAGUGUUAUUUAGAAAACCCCUCACAUCAGACUGGAAAUUUCAUAAUAUAUGCCCUGGAGAUAUGUUUUAAAAGGAAGCAGUACUGCAACACAUAUUAUAUAAAAUGAAAAAAUGUACCGUUCACUUUUCAAAGGGAGUACAAUGACACAGUACAAUGUUGCAUUGCAGUAAGUCCUCAUUUUAACCCUGUACAUAACUGAAACAUACUGGAAUGCUUAUGAAGCUGUGAUUAAUUACUAAUGGAUUACAUCAACAUGCAAGCCACCCACAGGCUACUGUUUGUAUGCUGUAUGUUUCAAAAGGAAUGGGAUUAUGUUUAGAUGGACCAGGAAAUCGAAAGUUCAUUGCCUGCAGUGAAGCCUUCUUUUCUCCUGGUUUCGUUUCUUUUUGCUCCUAUAAAUGUCCCUCUGCUUUGUCAAUUCUUUGACAUGCCUUUUACAUUUAAUAUAGAUUAUCCCCUGAAACUGGGCUGGCUGUUGUUUGGAUGAAUUUGGUACGAAAUGCAAACCGAAGUGCUCAGAUGAUGUCACAUCAUAGGCCCACCUACCUACACUUAUGUUUUAGCAUAAGAAAUCGCUAAUUAAAAUGUGGCAAAUGAAACAUGUAUAACAUUUUUUUUUGUUGCUUUUAAAGUGUGGAAGUAAAGAUAAACCCUGUCUACUCAACUGCAGGCCUGUAAGUCUCCAAAGUAUGCAACAGAAAAAUGUGCAUAUUCAGUAUAGACAAAAAUUAAUACUAUUAAUUAACAGCAAACAGUAACUAACUGCAUAGGUAAUUAGCUAUAUAAUUAAAUGCGGUCCAAAAGGAGCAUUUAAUUAUAUAACUAGGUUUCAUGCUACACUCACUACCAAUUUCUACCUAGUCAUAGCUUGAACUAAUUGUUUGAAAUACUGGUUCAAAAGUUUUUUGAACAAUUAACACAAGCCACAAAACAACUGCCUUUUGUUGGUUAGCAAAAUCCAUUUUUAAAAUAUAAUUAUUUUUUCAAAACUGCAAAUUUAUUCUUAAAAAUCGCCUCAAGAAUGUACAUACAGACUUGCAGGCAAGCACGCAAAUUUGACAAGGAUGAUUUCAGUUUAAAAAGUAGGUAAUAGCUCCAGACAAUCAUACUGACAUGUCUGGCACAGGUUUUGAAGGCAUGUCAACAAAUCGUUGUCAGACUCUUGACCAGCAUAGCCCACUACAGCUCUUUCUUAAUGUGACAAAGAGUCAUAUUUUCCACAUCAAAUACGAGCUGAACUAGUAGCAACUGGUGCCGUGGGAGUGGGAUACUACACACACUAUCUAAGCAGUGGAGAUUUCAGUCGGCGAUCAAUAGUCCUCACUUUUGCUGAUUAGCCGUCUGUUAUCUGCAGUUUUCUGUCCGGCUCACGGUGAAUUUUGCAUGACACACACGCUUAAUGUGCAUUGGGUGUUGCCGCGGCGAAGGGCUAGGGUGUGUAAUACGCGUGUCAUUUCUUGUUUUAUUUUCACAGUGAUGACCAGCAUGUGGGAACACAGGAAAACAUAGCGCCAGCCAAAUCCCACAGCAGGGGAAAGGGGUCUGUUGAAGAUCCGUCUGCUUCCGGGGGUGAUAACAUUUAUGUUAACAGUGAGACACCAUAUUUUGAAGAAGAAGAAGAAGAGGAGGAUUAUGAGAAUUGUUUUAAAGAGGACAUUUAUGCGAACAUGUAAUGGCACAAAGUUGGCUAGUCUUAAGAAAAACCUGCUACUUUAACAUACGUGAUCCGGAGGCAGUUCAAGCGAUGACUAUGUAUUUAUAAGGCCUUUGUCACACGACAGGAAUUUUGAUUCAAAGUCUCCAUGCACACAUUUCACAUAUGAUACUUUUUUUAUCGGAUAUAGCUUGUGCGCGAUGUGAAUAAGGCUUGUGAUUUCUGCCAGCACGUUUAUUACUGAACGGCCAUGAAGAUGGAGGUUUUGGUAUCACAAGAAUCAUAAGAAGGGUUAAUUCUGUUCUCUAGUACGUGUGCUGGGUGUUUGGAAAGGAUCCUUUUGAUUUUUAACGGUACAUUACUUGAUGUCUUAUUUCAAUAUUGUUUAUUAAUAUUGCCUUAUACUGCUUUGCAGGCCUACGUGUAUUGUCACCAAUUAUAUUACUAUAAUCGAGAGCGAAACAUUUAUAUUUAAUUCAUUGAUUAUUUUGUGUUCUGAGAAUAUCUUUGCUGCAAUAAAUAAUUCACGGUGUUAGAGGAGUCAGCUUUUGUGAUAAAUAUAUGGCCCUUGUACGAUAGAUGAUGGAUGGAUGGAUGGAUGGAAGACUGUCAAACUAGUUCUAACAUCACACUGUGUGAAUUACAUCAGAGGAACAAGAGGAGCAGGGAAAAAUGGCUGCAAAGCUACUGUGAUUUCAAAUUGAAUAAGGAUGGAAACCGUCCUGACAAUGGCUUAAAUGAUUAAUAAUUAAUCUGUAAA
This is a long non-coding RNA of Anguilla rostrata (American eel), 3430 nucleotides long. RefSeq lists it as uncharacterized. Lineage: Eukaryota; Metazoa; Chordata; Actinopteri; Anguilliformes; Anguillidae. The transcript has 4 exons. The record is from RefSeq and is a predicted model, not a curated record.